RNAcentral lists this long non-coding RNA (216 nucleotides) under Lathyrus oleraceus (garden pea). RNAcentral describes it as "Pisum sativum (pea) long non-coding RNA (PSAT_LNC013137)". Lineage: Eukaryota; Viridiplantae; Streptophyta; Magnoliopsida; Fabales; Fabaceae. The record is from RNAcentral.
GCAUUUUCUGGAGAACGGGGUUCAUAGUGGCGAUCGCGGGUUAUCGUCAGGCGACUGGGGUCCAAAUCGGAGAAUGGGGUCCAUUUAUUUUGGCAAAUAGGAGAAUGGGGUUCAAAUGCAGAGAUCUGAGGGUCGUUUGCGCAGAGAAAAUUUCGGGGUUCAAGAAAAUGAAAAAGAGCGGAGAAAAUUUCGGGGUUCAAGAAAAGAAAAAGAAAU